AACAUUACGACUCAUGUGGAAUCUCGUGUCCUGCAAACUGCUCUAAUUUCCGAGAUCCCAUCAUCUGUACGUACGAUUGUAAUCCCGGCUGCUUCUGUAAUAGCGGAUACGUUCUUGAUUUGACGUUCCCUAGUGUAUGUGUCGAAGAGAAUCAGUGCCCUAUUAAAAGAGGAGAUGAAUACUAUUGUGAUAAACCUCACAGAGAACUCCAAACUUGCGGCACAGCCUGUCCUAAAACCUGCGCGAACCGCAAUCAGAACAUUGGUUGUAUAUUGCCGUGUGUUAUUGGCUGCUUCUGCGCGGAGGGCUAUCUGUCCAACAGCAACGGCGACUGCGUUCUAGAAUCUGAAUGCGAUGAUUAAAA
This is a long non-coding RNA of Spea bombifrons (plains spadefoot toad), 364 nucleotides long. RefSeq lists it as uncharacterized. The record is from RefSeq and is a predicted model, not a curated record. Lineage: Eukaryota; Metazoa; Chordata; Amphibia; Anura; Pelobatidae. The transcript is spliced from 2 exons.